UAUUAAAAAUAUGUUUUUGUCUAUUUUCGAAGGUGUUUCAUUCAAAUCAUAGAUAUGUACCGGGGAACUGAUAAGGUGUCGAAAGCUCUUCUCAUAGCAUUGACACUUGCUUGCUUCUUUCUGGAUGGAAAACAAAGGUCACAGGUUGAACGCAAUGUGAACGUAACGGCGACAACGACAACAAUGAUCCACAGGAGUCGAAGAACAGAAAUACGCGCAGGAUGAGCCCCGAGUAAUGUGUACAAAGCAACUGCUGCCGCACAACUGAGGCGGCAGGAUGCCGUGGCAGCGGUUUCAAACAGACGGCUGCGGAACAAAAUGGGAUUCGGAACAGGCCAAAGCACGACUUCGGUUCCAGAGUCAGAAUCGUCACACAACAUCUGUUCGAGAGUGAGAUAGCUAUACAAAGAAUGCAAGGGAAGGGGCUUUCCGAGUGGCAGUGGGCCUGGGAAUAGGCAAAGGUCCCACAAUCCACAACAAAUCCAGUGACGAGAGGUCUAUGCAUUGGGGUUGCGUGAGCGGGCAGAAAGGGAUUGGGAGCUGGAGAGUUAUAUAAAAAUGUACUCAGGUGAUCUGUGUACGGGAAUAUGCAAUCAUCAUCACUGUUGUCGAAAUUACUGAGGACAGCACUACCAGUUCCCAUUCCCGCUCUAAGCAUCACAAGGACCAUUGGCUGGCUAAUUUGGCAAAGAUGGGAGGAAGGCUACGAAAGACUGCUGUGCUCUCUGGUCUACUUGGCCUUGUGCUUAUUCAAUCCGAAAUCGGCUUGGCGAGGCAUUACAAUCAAUUAUGCAAAUCGUCACAUAUGAAAUGGAUACAUAUAUAGAAGGACUUACAGACUUUGCCAGUUGAAAUGUAACCAACACCAUCUCCAAAGGCAUAUAUAAUUGCGCCUAAUUGCCUUUAAUUGUUCAGAACGGAAGUCCAAAAACGACAGGACAAUGAGUACUAAUUCACCUAUCAGUGGAAACAUAAACAUUGUGUUUUCGGAACGGAGCCUAUUCUUCACAACUUAUAUGUACUCAAUCCGCAUGACUAGACCUCCAACGGCAAGCUUCAUGAAAAGCUUCAAGGGAAAGUGUUCUUACCAUCCCACAUAGCAGUCCUGCACAACCCCAUAGUUAAUUAAUUGUAAUACGACGAAAAAAUAACAGAAACGCAUACAAAUCACGAAUAUACCUAGGGAACCAAACGACAAACGGAACCGAAAUUCGAAUGAUUCCUUGCGUAGACAGGAAGAUAUCUUCACAAACUGUCAGUUCAUGAUGGAGCCAGAACAGUUCUCUGAGGAAUGCCUGUAGCUUUUGCUCAAUCCUAUUCUCCUAUGGAGCGCUGUGGAGUGCCCCAUGGAUCAGAUGUCCGAUGAGUGCUGCGAUGGAUGUUAGGGCACACCGGCGGUGAUCUUGACAGCACAGAGGGCUGCAGCAGGGAGUGCGUUUUGCGCUCCCACUGUCGACCCGGGGAGAAAAUCAACGAGCUCCGAUGGCAUGAUCCCAAGGACGGCUUAGACUGCUUUCUUCGAGGGAGAAAUUCAUCGAGUUGGCACUUGCGUGGAUGGAUACUAGCUAAAUGAGCCGCGUUAACAAGGAAAACUAUCGACCUAGUCCGAGCUUCGCUUCAACAGAUCAAAGCUAUUGUUCGCUGACCUUACCAAGUGCGCUCCCGACCUACUACCUGGAUAAAUUCAAAUAACACAUGCCCAUACAAAACUGAAGGCUAUUCUUCCAGCAGAACCGCUUAUUCCAUAUUCUUGAUUGUAAAGUGAUUGUUAACUGCCUCUUGUGAGCUCUCAGCAUUUUCCGUCGCAUCGAUUAAGUCUUUUUCAGCCGUCAAAAUAAAAACACAUUUGUUUUUGCCGAAA
Drosophila pseudoobscura is the source of this 1861-nucleotide long non-coding RNA. RefSeq lists it as uncharacterized. The transcript is spliced from 5 exons. The record is from RefSeq and is a predicted model, not a curated record. Lineage: Eukaryota; Metazoa; Arthropoda; Insecta; Diptera; Drosophilidae.